This 490-nucleotide ribosomal RNA is filed under the name uncultured bacterium. Its description in RNAcentral is "partial 16S ribosomal RNA". It matches the Rfam family "Bacterial small subunit ribosomal RNA", at positions 30 to 507 of the family's 1533-position model. The record is from RNAcentral.
AUUGAACGCUGGCGGCAGGCCUAACACAUGCAAGUCGAACGGUAACAGGAAGAAGCUUGCUUCUUUGCUGACGAGUGGCGGACGGGUGAGUAAUGUCUGGGAAACUGCCUGAUGGAGGGGGAUAACUACUGGAAACGGUAGCUAAUACCGCAUAACGUCGCAAGACCAAAGAGGGGGACCUUCGGGCCUCUUGCCAUCGGAUGUGCCCAGAUGGGAUUAGCUAGUAGGUGGGGUAACGGCUCACCUAGGCGACGAUCCCUAGCUGGUCUGAGAGGAUGACCAGCCACACUGGAACUGAGACACGGUCCAGACUCCUACGGGAGGCAGCAGUGGGGAAUAUUGCACAAUGGGCGCAAGCCUGAUGCAGCCAUGCCGCGUGUAUGAAGAAGGCCUUCGGGUUGUAAAGUACUUUCAGCGGGGAGGAAGGGAGUAAAGUUAAUACCUUUGCUCAUUGACGUUACCAGCAGAAGAAGCACCGGCUAACUCCGUG